CUGGACUCAAUGACCUCUAAAGGUCCCUUCUAACUCAAACAAUUCUAUGAUAUUUUAUGUAGAAAAUCACUUAUCUCCACAGCUAUGAGUUACUGAGAGCUUCUUGCCUCUCAGUAACUAGCAUCGAUGUCACCAUCUGCUCCCUGGCCUUACCAUUGCACAAUAGUGUUGCUGUUCUCAGCCCUGCAGAAAGUCAAUUGCUUGAAAUACAAUUUUUAAAAGCUAUUACUUUUCAAAUGAUGUCAAAAAAGAAGCGAGUAGGAGUCAAAGGUCUUAGCAGGAAUGGUGUGAGGCAAUCAGAAAACACAGAUAACACACUAGAGUGCUGCAGGAGAAAGAAAAGCCAGAAGUAGCCCCAGCCAAUUCAGGGAAUUGCUCUCUCCCCUGCAGGCUGAAUAUAUUUACACUUUUCCAUGCUUGUGUUGAGCCAAGCUAAGGCAGCUGAGAUACCUGUUGUGAUUAUUCACACUCUUUAGCAAUCAGCUAAACCAGGUUUUGUGGAAGGUUUAUUUCAGCUGCUCUGUGAAUACAAUACCUGAACAAAACCUGCACAAAAACCAGGCAGCAGCCUCUGGCCCUUCCUGCACUGCUCUUCUCAUCUGUAUUCACAAUCUGAAAUUAAUCCACCAUCCUGUGAGUACAGGUGCUUUCACCUAUGCAAUCAAAGAAAUAAGACAUCUGCUCAGCAGGGAGAUAUUGCCAAGAGCACCUGCUCCUGCUAUAAAUAGUGCUGCAAUAGUCCAUGGAAAGUGGGAGACUUUCAGCGGGUUCAGCUGGAAGAGCCUAAUUAACAAAUAUCUCAUAGGCUGCGGAAGCAAAAGGGAUUGUGUCAGACUGGCUCAGGAAGAUAUGGGAAUUGAACUGGGCUAAGAAAACGUUCUCUGUGUUGAGCUGUUGACUGGAAGAAAGGCAGAGCAGCUCCUGCUGACUUUGAAAUGGAGCUGGUGUGAAGCCUUUGGUCCGAAUUAAGCCUGUAAAAUUAGAAAAUAUGUAAAACCUUCUUGUUGUUGUUGUUCCUAGUGAAAAAGAAAUAAUUAUUUCAGUUCGAAGCAAAGAAAAUAAUAUUCAUACACCAUUUAAAGCAGUGGUCCCUGGAUAAUUGUUAGUCUGUUGGCUUGUAUGUCCAGAAAAGGUGAGAAGAGUUAAUAGAUUAGUGGAAUUACUUUUUCUCAAGAUACACUAUAUGACUUAGCUCUAAUGGUGGAUAUUCAUCUUAGUGACAGGACCAUGUUUAUUAGCAAUACAGGCAACCAUCUGCCCUGAGUUGCAUGGGUAGGUCUGGGGGUGUUGUACUUGGAAAAGAAAUGGUGUUCGCUGUAUUCCAACCCUGAAUCACCACGGCUGUAUGAGAUCUUGUUUUAUUUCUGCCAGAAAUAGGACAGGUUGAUCAAUGAAUUAUGUAGAUUGAAAGCUUUGAAUUUUCAGUUCAUACACACAGUUCCAG
RNAcentral lists this long non-coding RNA (1444 nucleotides) under Numida meleagris (helmeted guineafowl). Its description in RNAcentral is "lncRNA (ENSNMEG00000018088.1)". The record is from RNAcentral. Lineage: Eukaryota; Metazoa; Chordata; Aves; Galliformes; Numididae.